UCCCUGGUAGUAUAUCGGUUAGUACACGCGCUUGUCAUUUCGGAAGGUGGAUGUUUGCGCGCGAAAGCUGGGUUCGACUCCCAGCCAGGGAG
Gymnopus androsaceus JB14 is the source of this 92-nucleotide non-coding RNA. The record is from the annotation of a GenBank genome assembly. NCBI's taxonomy places the organism in Eukaryota, Fungi, Basidiomycota, Agaricomycetes, Agaricales, Omphalotaceae.